UUAAUUACUGAGAUCAAGACUAGUAGCGAUUAGCUUUUUGAGACAGAGAAUCUUUUUUAAAUAGCUGAAAGAAAAGAUAAAAGAAGCAAUUGUGAAUUUCAUCUUGGGAGUAGAAUCUAAUCAAUUCCGGUAUUUCACCGUUAACGAAAAUUAAAGUGUGAGCUUAAGAUGCUCAAACUAGGGUGGUACCGCGACGCUUCGUCCCUAUG
Molecule: non-coding RNA, 209 nt
Filed under: Lactobacillus kefiranofaciens
Lineage: Bacteria; Bacillati; Bacillota; Bacilli; Lactobacillales; Lactobacillaceae
Description: T-box sequence
Rfam family: T-box leader
About the family: Uncharged tRNA acts as the effector for transcription antitermination of genes in the T-box leader family. T-boxes are found upstream of many aminoacyl-tRNA synthetase genes and some amino acid biosynthetic genes usually in Gram-positive bacteria. The anticodon of a specific tRNA base pairs to a specifier sequence within the T-box motif, and the NCCA acceptor tail of the tRNA base pairs to a conserved bulge in the T-box antiterminator hairpin.
Source: RNAcentral